This 260-nucleotide ribosomal RNA is filed under the name Microbacterium sp. ISO898_OTU1061. RNAcentral's name for it is "partial 16S ribosomal RNA". It matches the Rfam family "Bacterial small subunit ribosomal RNA", at positions 29 to 289 of the family's 1533-position model. Lineage: Bacteria; Bacillati; Actinomycetota; Actinomycetes; Micrococcales; Microbacteriaceae. The record is from RNAcentral. RNAcentral also lists the same sequence under 2 other names.
AUGAACGCUGGCGGCGUGCUUAACACAUGCAAGUCGAACGGUGAAAGAGAGCUUGCUCUCUGGAUCAGUGGCGAACGGGUGAGUAACACGUGAGCAAUCUGCCCCUGACUCUGGGAUAAGCGUUGGAAACGACGUCUAAUACCGGAUACGAGCUGCGAAGGCAUCUUCAGCAGCUGGAAAGAACUUCGGUCAGGGAUGAGCUCGCGGCCUAUCAGCUAGUUGGUGAGGUAAUGGCUCACCAAGGCGUCGACGGGUAGCCG